AUCUAACUGACCAGUCCCAAAUUGGACAGAACGCGCGUCUUGAAU
RNAcentral lists this non-coding RNA (45 nucleotides) under Schistosoma curassoni. Lineage: Eukaryota; Metazoa; Platyhelminthes; Trematoda; Strigeidida; Schistosomatidae. The record is from RNAcentral.